GACGAACGCUGGCGGCGUGCUUAACACAUGCAAGUCGAACGGAAAGGCCCUGCUUUUGUGGGGUGCUCGAGUGGCGAACGGGUGAGUAACACGUGAGUAACCUGCCCUUGACUUUGGGAUAACUUCAGGAAACUGGGGCUAAUACCGGAUAGGAGCUCCUGCUGCAUGGUGGGGGUUGGAAAGUUUCGGCGGUUGGGGAUGGACUCGCGGCUUAUCAGCUUGUUGGUGGGGGAGUGGCUUACCAAGGCUUUGACGGGUAGCCGGCCUGAGAGGGUGACCGGCCACAUUGGGACUGAGAUACGGCCCAGACUCCUACGGGAGGCAGCAGUGGGGAAUAUUGCACAAUGGGCGGAAGCCUGAUGCAGCAACGCCGCGUGCGGGAUGACGGCCUUCGGGUUGUAACCCGCUUUCGCCUGUGACGAAGAGUGAGUGACGGUAAUGGGUAAAGAAGCACCGGCUAACUACGUG
RNAcentral lists this ribosomal RNA (468 nucleotides) under uncultured bacterium. RNAcentral describes it as "partial 16S ribosomal RNA". It matches the Rfam family "Bacterial small subunit ribosomal RNA", at positions 28 to 507 of the family's 1533-position model. The record is from RNAcentral.